RNAcentral lists this ribosomal RNA (495 nucleotides) under uncultured bacterium. RNAcentral's name for it is "partial 16S ribosomal RNA". It matches the Rfam family "Bacterial small subunit ribosomal RNA", at positions 28 to 523 of the family's 1533-position model. The record is from RNAcentral.
GAUGAACGCUAGCGGGAGGCCUAACACAUGCAAGCCGAGCGGUAUUGUUUCUUCGGAAAUGAGAGAGCGGCGUACGGGUGCGUAACACGUGUGCAACCUGCCUUUAUCUGGGGGAUAGCCUUUCGAAAGGAAGAUUAAUACUCCAUAAUAUAUUGAACGGCAUCGUUUAAUAUUGAAAGCUCCGGCGGAUAGAGAUGGGCACGCGCAAGAUUAGCUAGUUGGUGAGGUAACAGCUCACCAAGGCGAUGAUCUUUAGGGGGCCUGAGAGGGUGAUCCCCCACACUGGAACUGAGACACGGACCAGACUCCUACGGGAGGCAGCAGUGAGGAAUAUUGGUCAAUGGGUGCAAGCCUGAACCAGCCAUCCCGCGUGAAGGACGACUGCCCUAUGGGCUGUAAACUUCUUUUGUAUAGGGAUAAACCUACCCUCGUGAGGGUAGCUGAAGGUACUAUACGAAUAAGCACCGGCUAACUCCGUGCCAGCCGCCGCCGUAA